GCUGGACUUGGUUGUUCAUGCCUGUAAUCCCAGCAGCUCAGGAGGCUGAGGCAGGAGGAUCACAAGUUCAAAGCCAGCCUCAGCAACAGGGAGGUGCUAAGCAACUCAGUGAGACCCUGUCUCUA
This 125-nucleotide small RNA is filed under the name Marmota monax (woodchuck). Lineage: Eukaryota; Metazoa; Chordata; Mammalia; Rodentia; Sciuridae. The record is from RNAcentral.